UGCACUCGACUUCGUCGCCACCGUAGAUAC
This 30-nucleotide small RNA is filed under the name Bombyx mori (domestic silkworm). RNAcentral's name for it is "piRNA piR-bmo-1365454". The record is from RNAcentral. Lineage: Eukaryota; Metazoa; Arthropoda; Insecta; Lepidoptera; Bombycidae.